ACUCCUACGGGAGGCAGCAGUGGGGAAUAUUGGACAAUGGGCGCAAGCCUGAUCCAGCCAUGCCGCGUGAGUGAUGAAGGCCCUAGGGUUGUAAAGCUCUUUCACCGAUGAAGAUAAUGACGGUAACCGGAGAAGAAGCCCCGGCUAACUUCGUGCCAGCAGCCGCGGUAAUACGAAGGGGGCUAGCGUUGUUCGGAUUUACUGGGCGUAAAGCGCACGUAGGCGGACUAUUAAGUCAGGGGUGAAAUCCCGGGGCUCAACCCCGGAACUGCCUUUGAUACUGGUAGUCUUGAGUUCGAGAGAGGUGAGUGGAAUUCCGAGUGUAGAGGUGAAAUUCGUAGAUAUUCGGAGGAACACCAGUGGCGAAGGCGGCUCACUGGCUCGAUACUGACGCUGAGGUGCGAAAGCGUGGGGAGCAAACAGGAUUAGAAACCCCUGUAGUCCCA
RNAcentral lists this ribosomal RNA (446 nucleotides) under uncultured organism. Its description in RNAcentral is "partial 16S ribosomal RNA". It matches the Rfam family "Bacterial small subunit ribosomal RNA", at positions 335 to 797 of the family's 1533-position model. The record is from RNAcentral.